GUAGGUGGCAAGCGUUGUCCGGAAUUAUUGGGGCGUAAAGCGCGCGCAGGCGGUUCUUUAAGUCUGAUGUGAAAGCCCACGGGCUCAACCGUGGAGGGUCAUUGGAAACUGGAGAACUUGAGUACAGAAGAGGAAAGCGGAAAUCCACGUGUAGCGGUGAAAUGCGUAGAGAUGUGGAGGAACACCAGUGGCGAAGGCGGCUUUCUGGUCUGUAACUGACGCUGAGGCGCGAAAGCGUGGGGAGCAAACAGGAUUAGAUACCCUGGUAGUCCACGCCGUAAACGAUGAGUGCUAAGUGUUAGGGGGUUUCCGCCCCUUAGUGCUGCAGCUAACGCAUUAAGCACUCCGCCUGGGGAGUACGGCCGCAAAGGCUG
RNAcentral lists this ribosomal RNA (374 nucleotides) under uncultured organism. RNAcentral describes it as "partial 16S ribosomal RNA". It matches the Rfam family "Bacterial small subunit ribosomal RNA", at positions 527 to 896 of the family's 1533-position model. The record is from RNAcentral.